GUGAAGAUGUAUGUGUAUGUAAUGUAUAUGAAUGUGUAUAUAUGUAUAUGGGCCCAUACCUCUUAAUGGCAUCUAUUAAAGCUGUAAAGGUUUUUGCAGCUUAAGAAAACUAAUAUUAUGAGGAUGGAGAAGCAUGGAGGAACCUUAUCUCUUUAAUUAAUUCUUUUUUUUUUCGAAUCCAUAUAAUUCUUUAAUAUAUCACAACUGUUUUUAUAUUUCUUUCAAAUUAAUUUGGGUUUUUUUUGCUUAUCUACCUUCUUGGGGGUAUAAAAUCUCAAAUCUUUCUCUCUUUUCAAUUUAAUUAUUUUAUUCCCUCUUAUCUCUAUUAUCUCUGCACCGUCUUCUAUAUAAACCCAGAGCGAGUGAGUCCUCUAGUAUUCAGAAGCACCCCAAACAAAUAUGUAGAGAUAUCCUCUUCCAUAUCUAUUGUUACUUCCGAGAAGAAAAAUAUCAAAAAUAUAUGGUUUUCACAUAUACAUUUUUUUUUUGGUUUGUGCAUGGUUGUCCAUAUAUAUAAGUGGGUAUAGUGAAACGCGUAUGUGACGAAAGUAGUGUGCAGCCAAGGAUGACUUGCCGAUUUAAAUGAUCUUUCUUUAUACUCUAUUAAGACAUUUUAAGUUUCAAAUUUCUUUGGUUCUUCAAGGAUUAAGGAAGAAAGUAGGCUAUAUAUGUAGAUAUAUAUAUUAUGCUGUAUUAAAUAUAUGUACAAGAUAAGACCAAAAAAGAAAAAGUAACAAUCAUGAUCGGCAAGUUGUCCUUGGCUACACGUUACUUUGUGUCGCGCAUAGGUGUUAUGUGGUAAAGAUCCCCAAGAACUCAAGCUAAGGAACAAUGCAGAACGAGCUGCUGCCAACAGAAAAAAAAACCAUGAGAGGAGGUAAUAAAUAACUUAUUUUUUGGCGGCCACAUUACGGAGGCCAAGCCAUAUAUCCGGCAGAGUCGAACUCUUGGGUGAAAUUAAAAGAGACGGUCGCAGGUGGAACGUAAUUAGGCUAGAGGUGCUUCUCGGUAAUUAAUAAGUUUUUACCAAAAAAAUAAGUUUUUACUCACACCAAACCAGACAUUUUAUAAUUAGGGAUUACUUGGUUGUAUUGCUUUUUUGGAAAGUUUAUUUGUAAAAAUGAUGAUGUGGUAUGAUUUAUGUAUAAUUUAAAUAAAGAAUGUGAUACGA
Long non-coding RNA from Arabidopsis lyrata subsp. lyrata, 1171 nucleotides. RefSeq lists it as uncharacterized. NCBI's taxonomy places the organism in Eukaryota, Viridiplantae, Streptophyta, Magnoliopsida, Brassicales, Brassicaceae. The record is from RefSeq and is a predicted model, not a curated record. The transcript is spliced from 2 exons.